CCUACGGGGGGCAGCAGUAGGGAAUCUUCCACAAUGGGCGCAAGCCUGAUGGAGCAACACCGCGUGAGUGAAGAAGGGUUUCGGCUCGUAAAGCUCUGUUGUUGGAGAAGAACGUGCGUGAGAGUAACUGUUCACGCAGUGACGGUAUCCAACCAGAAAGUCACGGCUAACUACGUGCCAGCAGCCGCGGUAAUACGUAGGUGGCAAGCGUUAUCCGGAUUUAUUGGGCGUAAAGCGAGCGCAGGCGGUUGCUUAGGUCUGAUGUGAAAGCCUUCGGCUUAACCGAAGAAGUGCAUCGGAAGCCGGGCAACUUGAGUGCAGAAGAGGACAGUGGAACUCCAUGUGUAGCGGGGGAAUGCGUAGAUAUAUGGAAGAACACCAGUGGCGAAGGCGGCUGUCUGGUCUGCAACUGACGCUGAGGCUCGAAAGCAUGGGUAGCGAACAGGAUUAGAUACCCGGGUAGUC
RNAcentral lists this ribosomal RNA (465 nucleotides) under uncultured bacterium. Its description in RNAcentral is "partial 16S ribosomal RNA". It matches the Rfam family "Bacterial small subunit ribosomal RNA", at positions 338 to 795 of the family's 1533-position model. The record is from RNAcentral.